GGUAGCGUGUCCGAGCGGCCUAAGGAGCACGCCUCGAAAGCGUGUGAGGUUAACAGCCUCCGUGGGUUCAAAUCCCACCGCUACCGCCG
Molecule: transfer RNA, 89 nt
Filed under: Georgenia yuyongxinii
Lineage: Bacteria; Bacillati; Actinomycetota; Actinomycetes; Allobogoriellales; Allobogoriellaceae
Description: Georgenia sp. Z443 tRNA-Ser
Rfam family: tRNA
About the family: Transfer RNA (tRNA) molecules are approximately 80 nucleotides in length. Their secondary structure includes four short double-helical elements and three loops (D, anti-codon, and T loops).
Source: RNAcentral